Molecule: non-coding RNA, 10323 nt
Organism: Callithrix jacchus (white-tufted-ear marmoset)
Lineage: Eukaryota; Metazoa; Chordata; Mammalia; Primates; Cebidae
Source: RefSeq, a predicted model, not a curated record
CUUUUCAGUUUUUCCAUUUUAUUUGAAACAUUAAGUUGGCAUUUCUGACCAGCCUUUCUUGAGACUGUCAUUUCUUGGGCUCUUACUGUAGAGACGAAUCAGCACCCUAGCCUGCUCCAGCCCACCCCAUGUAACACUAAAGAGUCAAAUGGUGUUUGGCAAUAACAAAAUAUUAGUGACUGAUAAAUUAGUAAAUUUAUUAAAAUGGUCAGUGAAAGGAAACAGCCAACUUAGUUGUGAAGUGGAGAAGAAAUGUGAGGCAUUGGUUGUCUGAAAUCUUGUAUGUUGUGGUUUACCACAGGGGCUUGGCAUCAGUGUUUACUCACAGCACUGCUUUUUAUAAAAUGGAUGACCUUGGGCAGAUUACUCAAUCUUUUAGCCUUAAUUUUUAAAUGUGUAAAAUGGAGAAAAUUAGAGUAUGUAGUCCAGGUGCAGUGGCUCACAAUUGUGAGUAUCUAUGUACUUUGGGAGGCUGAGGCAGGUGGAUUAUUUGAGUCUGAGUUUAAGACCAGCGAAGGCAACAUGAUAAAACCCCAUCUCUAAAAAUAUAUAUAAAAAUGAGCCGGGCAUGGUGGCACAGGCCUGUAGUCCCAGCUACUAGGGAGGCUGAAGUGGGAGGAUCAAUUGAGCUUGCAGAGUUGCUGCAGUGAGCCAUGAUCUUGCCACUGAAUUCCAACCUGGGAAACAGAGUGAGACCUUGUCUCAAGUAAAUAAAUAAAUAAAGUAUGUAUUUCCUAGGGUUCUUCUUCUUUUUUUUUUUUUUUUUUUAAAUAGACUGAGUCUCACUCUGUUGCCCAGGCUGCUGUGCAGUGGCGCUAUCUUGGCUCAUCACAACCUCUGCCUCCCAGGUUCAAACAAUUCUCAUGCCUCAGCCUCCGAAGUAGCUGGGAUUACGGGCAUAUGACACCAUGCCCAGCUAAUUUUUAUAUUUUUAGUAGAGACAGGGUUUUACCAUAUUGGCCAGGCUGGUCUUAAACUCCAGACCUCAGUUGAUCUAUCCACAUCGGCCUCCCAAAGUUGCUGAGAUUACAGGCCUGCGCCACUGUGCAUGGCCUUCUUAGAGUUCUUAAGAAGAAUAAAGAGAUAAACUGGUAAAACAUGUAAAUACUUUUGGGAGAGUAUGUUAAAUAAUUAGUGUUGCUAAAUAAUAAGUUACAGGCAUCAUUUAACUGGAAAUCUUCCUUAACCACUAAGCCCACCUUCUAGAUAUGCUAAGGUGGCUCAGAAUAACAAUAGCAGUGAGCAUUUGUAGAGUUUACACAGCAUUUCAUUUGAUUUCCACAAUUAACUCUAAGGUAGGUAGUGCAUAGCUGUUGACUUAUUUUUGGAGAUGGAGGAGAAAAGAGAAGCAGGAACUCAGCUGAACAAGGCAGCAGAGAGAAAAGCCCCUAGGUUCAUGGCUGGCACUGAAGAGAGAAAACCAUAGUCUGGGGAAAGGCCUAAUGUGAGAAGUUAGUCUGUGUGCCUGGGAAGCAGGACAGUCAUUUCUCCAGCACAGAUUCUUGUUCCUCAGCUUCCUCAGUCCCUGGAACUCGCUUGUUCUUUCUUGUGCUCCAAACCAUAGAGCUUGAAACUGGCAAGUGCUCAGUUGCGCUGCCAACAGGGAAAGCAAUGGGAGCUCAAGUUUCCAGAAUCCUCUGCAACUUAGUGCGAGUAAAAGCCAAGGCAGAGACAGUGUCUUGCCCUGUCAUCCAGGCUGGAGUGCAGUGGUAGCAUCACAACUCACUGCAGCCUCAAAGUCUUGAGCUCAAGGAAUCCUUGCAUCUCAGCCACCUGAGUAGCUGGGACUACAGGAGUGCACCACCAUGUCCUGCUAAUUUUUUUUAUUUUUUAUUUUUUGGAGAGACAGGGAUCUAGGGUGGACUUGAACUCCUGCUCUCAAGCAAUCCUCCCUCCUUGGCUCCCAAAGUGUUGGGAUUACAGGUGUGAGCCACUCUACCUGGCUGAGACUUGCUCUUAUAAUCUCAUUUUUAAAUUCAAAAUUUUUUUUUCAUAGACUGAGCACCUAUGGAAAAAGGUUGGCUCAGGUUUAUAAUCCCAGCACUUUGGGAGGCCUAGGUGAGUGGAUCACCUGAGGUCCGGAGUUCGAGACCAGGUGAAACUCAGUCUCUACUAAAAAUACAAAAAUUAUCUGGGCAUGAUGGCAUAUGCCUGUGAUCCCAGCUGUUCCAGAGGCUAAGGCAGGAGAAUCACGAGCCCAUGAAGGAGGAGUUGCAGUGAGCCAAGAUCGCACCACUGCACUGGAGCCUGGGCUACAGAGCAAGACUCUGUCUCAAAAAAAAAAAAGAAAGAAAGAAAGGAAGGAAGGCUGGGCGUGGUGGCUCACGCCUGUAAUCCCAGCACUGUAGGAGGCCAAGGUGGGUGGAUCACAAGGUCAGGAGUUCGAGACCAGCCUGGCCAAUAUGGUGAAACCCCGUCUCCACUAAAAAUACAAAAAUUAUCUGGGUGGCAGGUGCCUGUAAUCCCAGCUACUUGGCAGGCUGAAGCAGGAGAAUCACUUGAACCUGGGAGGUAGAGGUUGCAGUGAGUGAGAUCGCGACACUGCACUCCAGCCUGGGCAACAGAGCAAGACUCCACCUCAAAAAAAAAAACAAAAAAAGAAAAAGAAAAGAAAAAAAUGUUUCCAAAGAAACACUGUUACACAUAGAAUUUAGAUCUACAAAAAUGGUAAUAAUAAUAACAAUAAUAAAAUCAUAUCCAUUUUUAAAACUCUUUUGUGUAAUCCCUUCAGAGAAGCAUAAGUGCUAUUUCCCCCAUUUAAAAGAUGGAAUACUAAGUAGCACAAAGAUAAAGUAAGCAUUAGAGGUGGAAGAAAUCCAGGCCUGCUGACUCAACCCCAGGUUCCUGUUACUGAGUAAAUGGACUUUUGUGGCUAGUCCUGGAUCAGAAUUGUCAGAAUGCAACCUUGCAAGCACUCCUCAUUAUUAGCUCUCCAAUUGCCCUACUUUUUUAUGCAUGGGAACUUUUCAUUCAGCCAUUGGUGGGAAUCUAGAGUAGUCAGCAUAAGCCUAAACAUUUGAAACACAAAUAAAGCUUUAGUGCCGCACUGGGUUUUCUGUUGACUUUUAAGAAGACUAGCUAACAGAGUGAUGAAAAUUGAACUAAGUCACUUUACACCCACUUUGUUUUCUCAUGGAAAAAUUUAAAGCUAUGCGCAAAAUAUUGUGUUGUUUUUCAACAGAGAAUAACAAAGUUACAUGCAAACAUUUUUUUCUAGAUAAGAUGAUUUUUUUUUCUCCCUUAUUUUAAACAAAUAUUUAUAGCUGAGAUUAAAAGCUCAGGCUUUGGAGCCAUACUUCUUCCUAAAGAAACAAAAGGAAACCUUAAGCUUAUCUAAUCAAUGGGAAGAUUCACUGUCGUUAACGGGUGUGGUGGUGUGAACCUAAAGUCCCAACUACCUCGGAGGAUGAGGUGGAAGGAUUGCUUGAGCCUGGGAAGUUGAGGCCAUGAUCAUGCCACUGUACUCCCGGGUAACCAAGUGGGACCCUGCCUCAAAAAAAGGAAGAAGAAGAUAAAUUGUCAAAAGAAUAGUUCUGCCAUUUACUAGCUGGGCAAUCUUAGGCAAUUUAUUUAUUUAUUUGUAAUGUAUUUUUUGAGACAGUCUCAUUCUGUCACCCAAGCUGGAGUGCAGUGGCAUGAUCUUGGCUCACUGCAACCUCCACCUCCCAGGUUCAAGCUACUCCUGCCUCAGCCUCCUGAGUAGCUGAGAUUACAGGUGCAUGCCACCACACUGGGCUAAUUUUUGUAUUUUUAGUAGAGACUGGGUUUCACUGUGUUGACAAGGCCAACCUCAGAAGAUCUAUCCACCUCAGCCUCCCAAAGUGCUGGGAUUACAGGCGUGAGCCACCACACCUGGCCAACCUCAGACAAUUUAUAUAAUCUCUCCAUACCUCAGUUUACUCAUUUAUAAAAUGGAGAAAAUAAUAGUUCCUCCCUCACCAGGUUGUGAGAAUGGAGCAGGCCUGGCACAAAUUAAGUGCUCAGUGAGUGCUGAUGAUUAUUAGGCACAGGCACUGGGUCCUGGGGGGUAUAAGAAUGGGUGAGACCGCUUCUGCCAUCAAGAACUAGCAUAAGAGAAGAUAGAAUGGCACAUGCAGUUAAUUCUAGAACAAAACAGAACCGAGGGUUAAGUAGAGUCAUCCCUCAAAGGAGGGAGAGAUUUUUCUGUCUGGGUGAGUAGAGAAGGCUCUCUGACAAAAUUGUCUUUUAACAUGGGUCUUAAUGAAGGAACAGAAUUUCAGUAAGAGGAAAGAGCUGGGGAACAUUCAAAAGUGAGUCAGAAACAAACAUAAAGACAUGAGAAAAAGCUCUCUGGGCUUACACAAAACCUAUCCUUCCCCGAAGCCUUUCAGAAGAUCCCAAGAAGAAAGGAUCAUAUCCCAAGUCAUAAAAAGUUAACAGAAUGCAAUGAAUUUGAACUUUUAAACCUAGAUGAUGAAGUUUUAUAGGAGAAAACAUAUAAAACUAAAACAAUACCAUUUUUAAAAUAAUGUUUUCAUCAAAUACAAACUUUUUAAGGACUAAGAAAACUUUGGGGAAAGUAAAAAAAUUUAACCUUGAAACCAAAAACAAAUCUGACAUUGAUCACUGUGCUCAGCUUCCCAAAAUAUACUGCAACAUUCCCCUCCUCCCUAAAAUGCAUCUUCAAAAUAUAUAUAUUGUUUCCACUAUUCGUUAGUCAUCAAAUUUUUUUUUCUUUUUAAGAAACAGGUGUCACUAUGUUGCCCAGGCUGGUCUUGAACUUCUGGGCUAAAGCGAUCCUCUUACCUCAGCUUCCCAGAGUCCUGGGAUUACAGGCAUGAGCCACCACUCCCAGCCAACAUCAAAACUUUUAAGUGAUUGCUAGGAUACAGAUCAGCCUAAUUAUUUAUUCACAACUAAAACAAAAUCAGUCCUCAAAAAUAAAAAUGACUUUAUCCACAUGUGCUCGUGCAAAUGCGCCACACUCUGAGAUUAAAUUAUGAGUCCUUUAUUAUGCCAGUGACCAAGAGGUGGCCAACACUCCAAAUUCUCUCAGCCCUUAAGAAAAAGUUAGGUGGUGUUUUAUACCCUAGUUUUGAAGAGGAGGAGGAAUCUAGCUGAAGCAAAUUUUCACAAAAGCGGAGUAAGCAAAAAGUUAAAAGAUAAACUAGUACAUGAGAAAUAAAACAGUGCCAGGUGUGAGGGGUAAAGUUGUCAAAAAAAGACAUACAACUUAUAGAUAAUGGGGUCUUUGGGUGCUCAACAGCACCUGCAUUCCCAAGCUCUGCUGGUACCACUUAACUUGGCCUCUUACCAACAAAUGCAUUCCUGGAGAUGCCCAAUGUCAGCCUGCCCCAGCUGUAUACUACAGUUACAUACUUAAUGGUGGGAAAAUAACUAAAAUGAAGAAGCUAAGAUGGAGUCUGCCCGGCUUAAGGAGCUAACAUAAAGCCUGAACAGCUUUUAGUCUGAGAAAGAGAGAGUUAGUUUUAGCUGGCAAAAAGUAGGUUAUCACACACACAUUUCAGAAACAGUUUAUUUCUACUCAAUUUUGUAUUCCCAGCCAGUGCUUCAAGCAAAAUUAUACAUCAGCUCUCUGAAACUGUAUGGUGAGAGUCUGCUGCCAUCAUUCCCAGUCUCCUUUAGGGAGACUGUUCAAAGGUCACGGGACAAUUAUGUGAGGAAUUCAGCCACAGUUUGAUGGGAGGAUAAAUGAGUGUCUAGAGAAUUGGGAAGUAGCUGGGCACAGUAGCUUAUGUCUAUAAUCCCAGCACUUUGGGAGGCCAAAGCAGGAGGACUGAUUGAAACCAGGAGUUCGAGACCAGACUGGGCCACAAAGCUAGAGCCUGUCUCCACAAAAAAUAAAACAAAAAAAACUAGCUGGGCAUGAUGGUACACACUUGCGGUCCCAACUACUCCGCAGGCUGAGGCAAGAGUAUUGCUUGAACCACGGAGAUAAAGGUGCAGUGAUCACACAAUGACACUCCAGCCUGGGCAAUAGAGUGAGACCUUGUCUCUUAAAAAAAAAUAAAAAGAGAAUUGGGAAGUGAUAGAGGCCUGUAUGGACUGUUUUUCCUACUCCCCACCCCCCAGGAGAACUUUAUUCUCUCCACCUGACUAUGUCCGGAACUCAGAAGACAGGUCUAGGCCAGAGACAAAGAUAAUAGCUACAUUCACUGAGCCCUUAGAAAUGUGGCGGUGACAUGCUAAUGACUUCACAUAUUUUCAUGGAACCCUCAUUUGUUAAGAAAACUGUAGUAAUAUUGUGCCCAUUUUAUUGGUGAAGUUUCUUCAGAGCAGAGGUUGCUUGAUCAGUGGAGCAGGAUCUAAAUCCAGGGGGCCAACCCCAGAGCCCUCCCUCUCAGCCACUGUGCUUUAUUGCCACAAUUCUCAGUCAUCUGCAUACAAAUGGGAAUUGAUAAGGGGAUGGUCCAUUGUUAUCAUCCAAAGCAGGACUCAUGGGUUUGGGGUGUUACUAAUCAUUCUGGGGAAACAGGCAGAAACCAGAACUGUUCGGGGCAAAUAGGGACAUAUGGUUACCUCAUUGCCUGACACUCUGAAAAUGGGUGAACAUCUGAGGAUAAGAAUGUUGAAAAAGUGAAGAAGGGAGCCCUUCAGUGGGCCUUGAGAAAGACUGGGAAGUGGGAGAAGAAAAAGAAAGAGAGAAAGACCAACAUUUGGGAAACUGAAAAAGAGAAAUCCUCAAAAGAUAUUGGGGGAGGGCAGGGUGUCUCAAAUACACGGACUCAAGGGCUGGGUUUCUUAGAGGGAGCAGUCAGUAGCGCCCCCACCCCUCAUGCUGUAAAUACCAAAAAGUGGCCACUGAAAGGAGAAACAAGGAAAGCAUCGGUGAUUUAAUAACAAACAUUUCUUUGCUUUUGCGCAGUCAGAUGCCAAAUUAAAGUAAACGGAGGAGUGAGUGGGAGGUAGGGCCCAGACCUAGACACAGUCAGUGCAAGCAAGUCUUUUUAAAAAUGUGGCCUUGGAGCUGAGGCAAAAGAUAGGACUGUCCUGGAGGUGGAGUCAAAGACGUUUUCUUUCUUUUUCAAAGCAAGAAACCAGAAUGUGUUUAAUGCUAAAAGGAAGGAUCCAGGUCAAGGAGGGUAGAGAAAAUGCAGAAUGCUAAUUAUCCCCUCACUGGGGGAUAUCCUGAAGCAAAGUCCCUGAGCUGCUGAGGGAGCUUUACAACUAAGGAGAUGGAGUUUCGCUCUUGUUGCCCAGGCUGGAGUGCAAUGGCAUGAUCUUGGCUCACUGCAACCUUAGUCUCCCGGGUUCAAGCAAUUCUCCUGCCUUCGCCUCCCAAGUAGCUGAGAUUACAAGAACAUGACCUCCUCUGUCCCUCACAAUUCCCCAGAGCUCCCACAGAACGCUCCAUGACUCAAUUCAAUGCCUUUUGCAUUUCUGCACGUAGCUGCCCAUCACAGGCACUGCUGAAACUCUGAGACAUGCAGAAGAAGGAGUGACCAAGAAAACCAGCCCUGAUGGAAAUGCAUUCCAAUAAGUAGAAUAUAUUCACAUUGGACUUUGGGUUGGGAUUUCCAAAAGAAGGACUGAUUUCAAAGAAAAAUAAAUGUUCCAGGACUAGGUCGGUCGCAAAGAAAGACUUCUCAGCCUUGGAAAAGACAAGGCAUGGGUCCGUGUCUCAGGAUCUGAGAGAGAAUCGUCUCAUUUUCUUUGCCUGUAAGUCUCUGUGCCAUCUCUUGCCCUCUGCCCUUAUGUUAUCUGUGUGUGUAUUUUCUUCACUCUUGUAGAUUGCCAGCUCUCUGAGUGGAGAUCACAUUGUUGCCUUUGCAUUCUCCACAGUGUUAGUCCAGUGCCUGCAACUAACCAGGUCUUCCCUGCUUCUUAAUUGACAGACAGACUUUGUGUAGAAAAAAACACUGAAAAAGCAUUUCAAAAAUAGUUGACUCUCUCUAAUGGGGGUUUUGCUAGCUGGGAAGGUGAUGCAGGGUAACUUCUCAGCAGGGUGUAAAUUUUGAGUGCUAGGGAAAGAGCAGCAUGAUUGGAAGAGAGGCAUAUUUCACUAGGAUACAUUCUGUUAUCUUUGUUUUACAUUUAAAUGAAACAUUUGGGUCUACAUGAAAUUUGGAUGACACAUUAAGGGUAAUUUCCCCAGCAUGAUUCGGAUUGCUGAUUAGAGAGAAUCAAGGUCUCCUGGAGUAUUCUGUUUGUGUUACUGAUUGGUUAAGGGUUGUUUCCCAACUGUGUGGUGAGUUCCAUUUUCCCUUGGAAAACUAAAGAGCAGUGCCCUACGGGCACAGCCAAAGUGAACUCUCUUCAAAAAGUCUAAGCCUGGCAGGGCAUGGUGGCUCACCCCUGUAAUCCCAGCACUUGGGGGGCCAAGGCAGGCAGACGACCUGAGGUCAGGAGUUCAAGAUCAGCCUGCCAACAUGGUAAAAACCUGUCUCUACUAAAAAUACAAAAAUUAGCAGGGUGUGAUGGCACAUGCCUGUAAUCCCAGAUACUCCAGAGGCUGAAGCAGGAGAAUCACUUAAACCUGGGAGGCGGGGAUUGCAGUGAGCGAAGAUUGCACCAUUAUACACCAGCCUGGGUGACACAGUGAGACUCAGUCUAAAAAACAAAAGUCUAAGCCUCUGAGCUGAAGUCCUUGAGUUCUUUUUUUUAAUUAUGUAGGAAGCGAAGAAAUGUCACUGUGUAGUGAAGAAUUAACCUUCUUCAAAAUAAGUCUGGCUUUUGUCCUUGGCUUCUGGAAGGUAAUCUCUACUGUCUUUCUUUGUCUGAGGUAUGGGGGUCACAGUGGACUUUCAGUGCAAUUUAAAGUGGGGACUGAUCUCUCCCAUGUAGCCAUAGGGUUGGAGUUGAAAGACCAACAAUAUGACUUUGGGUGGAGGCUUUGGGUCACCCAGUAUCAGUGGCCUAGAGACUAAAAUCAACCAUGUGGUCAAUCAGUCAAUCAUUUAUGCCCAUGAAAUGGUGUUCCAACAAAAACUGAGCCCUGAGGCUUAGGUGAGCUCUCUUGGUUGGCAGUACUCUGUGUUUAUUGUCACACAUGGAUGCCACAGGGUAUCCUUACUUUAUGGGAAGAAGAUAACAGAAGCUCUGCAUUUGGAACUCUAAUAGACUCUGUCCUAUGUGUCUCUUUUUGGCUAAGCUUAACCUAUACCCUUUCCUUAUAAUAAACCAUAAAUGUGACUAUAACAGCUUUUGGUGAGUCCCAUGUUUCUAGGGAAUACCAAAUCAGAGGGUGAUUUUGGGAAUCCUCUAUAACUGCAAUUGGUGUAAGAAGUGAGGGCAGGUUUGGCGACUAUACCUUCUAACUUUAUAAUUGGCCCUAUACUCCUCACAUACAUCCUCCCAGAAAAACCAGUCCCCAGGCCCUGGGAAUAAGGAAAAACGAACUCUUUCAGAGAAGAUCAGUACUAGAGACGGGGAUCUAAUUUGUGGCCUCAAGCUAUCCUCCUGCCUUGACCUCUGGAAUUACUGGUGUGAGCCACCUUGUCCAAUGCCUCAUUGUAUCUUUAGCAGAGUAGCCAGAGUGAUCCUGUCAAAAUCUGAGUGAUAUCAUGAACACUCCAAUGGCUCUCUUACUCAGGGUAAACGUCAGACUCCUUACGAUGUAACGCAAGACCUGUCUUAUCUUUCUGACCACACUUCUGAACUCUCCCCUUUAUUGACUGUGCUCCAGACAUAGGGGAUUCCAUGCUUUUCCUUGAGCAUUCCAAAGAUACUUGCUGUACUCAGAGGUUUUGGACAUACUGUUCUCUUUUCCUAGAAUGCUUUUCCCCAAAAGUAAUUAUGUGACUUACUGUCUCAUCUCCUUUAAAUCUUCUUCAAAUGUUGUCUCUUCAAAUGAGGUUGACUCUUGCCCUUUUCUUCUUUAUAUAAUGAACCCCAUAUUGAAGUGCCACUGUUCAUAAUUGCAGCAAGCCACCACCUCUCCACUCCUGUCCCAGCACUGGUGAGGUCUAUAACUCUGCACUAAUUUUGGAGAGUCUUUUGUUUGUUCGUUUGUUUGUUUGUUUGUUUGUUGUUUUGAGAUGGGGUCUCACUCUGCCACCCGGGCUGUGGUGCAGUGGCUCAAUCUCAGCUCACUGCAACCUCUGUUUGCUGGGUUCAAGUGAUCCUCACACUUCAACCUCCCAAGUAGCUGGGACCACAGGCAUGCACCACCACACCAGGCUAAUUUUUAUAUUUUUUUGUAGAGAUGGGGUUUUGCCAUGUUGCCCACGCUGGUCUUGAACUCCUGGACUCAAGCAAUCCACACACUUCAGCCUCCCAAAGUGCUGGAAUUAGAGGCAUGAGCCACUGUGCCCAGCCACCCUAUGCUAGUUUUUGUGCAUAACCCUUAUUACCUUUUAAUAUAUGAUAUAGUAAUAUAGGCAUAAAUAUUAUGUUUUUUGU